UCGCGAAUCAUUGGCAAUGUGCGCAAGCAUGACCAUGCCACGCCGCGUGGGCGAUGAAGGCCUUCGGGUUGUAAAGCCCUGUCAGGAGUGAGGAAUGGCGCGGGUCCACUCGCGUUUGACGUUAGCUCCAGAGGAAGUCACGGCUAACUCCGUGCCAGCAGCCGCGGUAAGACGGAGGUGGCGAACGCUGUUCGGAAUCACUGGGCUUAAAGGGCGUGUAGGCGGUCGUUCAAGUCGGGUGUGAAAUCCCUCGGCUCAACCGAGGAACUGCACUCGAUACUGUUCGACUAGAGUGCGGCAGGGGUAAGUGGAACUCCAGGUGUAGCGGUGAAAUGCGUAGAUAUCUGGAGGAACGCCGGUGGCGAAAGCGACUUACUGGGCCGCAACUGACGCUGAGGCGCGAAAGCUAGGGGAGCGAACGGGAUUAGAUACCCCCGUAGUCC
This 443-nucleotide ribosomal RNA is filed under the name uncultured prokaryote. RNAcentral describes it as "bacterial SSU rRNA". It matches the Rfam family "Bacterial small subunit ribosomal RNA", at positions 355 to 796 of the family's 1533-position model. The record is from RNAcentral.